UUUCUGCCGUUAGUUGCUCCAGGCAAAGGAAGCUUGAGCAGGUAACAUAGCGCCCACCUCAUUCAGAUUUGAUUUUUGCAGUAGUACAAAAUUCAUACCUGCCGCAUCACCAAUACGAGUACUCCAGGAAAAUGUGAGUGGGAAACAGAUUAUGUGCUUGAUAAAGUUUGUCCUUUGUAGAAUCACAUGCAAAUUUAGUACAUUGAUCUGCAAUGGGAAAUAAACAAGCUUCUCAUUCCAAAUCAGCAUUAUUUUGAGUUAUUACAAGGUUAGGAAUCAGAUUAUGUACUGAUAAUCAUUUUAUUUCAAGCUAAAUUGUAAUUGUUAGAUGGUCAUGUCUAUUAAUUUCCUAUAGACAACCCUUCUUGAGUUUCCUAUGGAUUUAUUACGGUUUCAAAAUGGUCAAGCAUUCAAGCUAGCAGCAGCAAAAAUUUGUCCCAACUAUUAAGCUACAAGAUUUAGCAAUGCAUGCUAUAUGUAGCAAUUUGGCCCCAAAAACCUGAACACCAUACCACAGAAAUUAGAAGACUUAGCAAAGCAUGCAUUCAUGUGACCAAGCAUCAUAUUGCAGUUACAAUACACAUAGAUUGAGUAAUAUAUCCUUGCUUUUUCAGGAGUCAGUCAAAAUAUGCAAGUAUGUGCACCCAGUUUGUUCAAGCCCCUUGCUCAGAAGUUGGUCUGGAGAUGCAAGAAUACAGGUAAACUGCAUAUAUAACUGCAUUUUUACGCAGAACUGAAAUCUCACAGAAACUACACUAAACUGGAUUGAGAUUAUUGAAAAAUGUUAAUUAAAUGUUAAAUGGAUAACUUUGUGAUAAUCUACACCAUAUCUUUAUGGACUAGGACCAAUCAAAACAACAUGCAGGAAUUGUUCAUCCUCAUGGAACCAAAAAACCAUCCAUCCACUUUCACUGCAAGUCAACACUGUACUGAGCUUUCCCUGUCCAUACACUUCCGAAACAGAAUGCCAGAUUGUUAAAUACUGACCAAGAUAACGAUAUUUAGAAACAAAUCACCUCACCCUCACCUCUUUCUGAUUAGUUUUUUGCUGCUGAACUAUUGCUGUCGGCUGUCGGAGUGCCUUUGCUGCUUGGGGUUCUUGCUUAACUUCCGCCUGCUGUGGAUGCCGCUUUGUGCUCGAGUUCUUGCUUAACUUCCGCCUGCUGUGGAUGCCGCUUUGUGUUUGGGUCUUUCCUUCUUGCUGCUGGUGUCGCUGUCUUUUUGUUGGCCAGGGGCAUGAUAUCUGGGGCAGCAGCCAAUCCUCCACGGGUGAAGUGAAGGUUUAUGUUUGUCACAAUUUCCAAUAUUAGCAUAGUAUGUAUUUGCAUGUUGCAAAGAUCUCAGUAUGAGGAGAUUUAGAUUCAUUCAACUCAACCAUUGACAGGCAGGGAGACAACAAAGGGGGCAGUAUAAUUGCAUCCCAUUAUUAUUUUUCUCUUUAUUAGAUGGCAUAUUGUUAUUUGUUCUAUAUAUACUUAACGUCCCCGUAUGGCUGCUUUUGAGAAAAAACCCGUAUUACCAUGUAUCCGUGUUUCUUAGUUCUUAUUCAUCCUAAGUUUUAGCAGAUUAAUUAAUCAUUUGCUUUUCUCAAUUUUAUUGUUUUGGAAAUUUUGUUCCUCUACCAUUUAUCAAGUACGGUUUGCGAGAGGUGGUUGCUAUUCAUACGUUCUAGUAUAUGUAAUACAAAAGGUACUUCUCAUUCAGUAUUUAAACGAUCUGGUGUCGUUCUAUUGCAUGGCAUUUGAAUUGCCCAAUGCUUGGUUGUGAGAGAUGAUAUCCAUCUCAGAAAGGAGAAAGGGUCACUGCUGGUCAAAUGCUUUGUGCCUAGGACUGAUAUGAACUUCUCUUCCACAACUAGACAAUUAUCCGAUCUAUUUCAAUUGUCUGGAUGUUAACUCGAG
This 1901-nucleotide long non-coding RNA is filed under the name Triticum aestivum (bread wheat). RNAcentral's name for it is "long non-coding RNA (TAES_LNC005247)". The record is from RNAcentral. Lineage: Eukaryota; Viridiplantae; Streptophyta; Magnoliopsida; Poales; Poaceae.